CGGGAAUUAGCGCAGUUUGGUAGCGCGCCUGCUUUGGGAGCAGGAUGCCACAGGUUCAAAUCCUGUAUUCCCGAC
This 75-nucleotide transfer RNA is filed under the name Cyanophage S-TIM54. Its description in RNAcentral is "tRNA-Pro". It matches the Rfam family "tRNA". Rfam says of the family: Transfer RNA (tRNA) molecules are approximately 80 nucleotides in length. Their secondary structure includes four short double-helical elements and three loops (D, anti-codon, and T loops). Lineage: Duplodnaviria; Heunggongvirae; Uroviricota; Caudoviricetes. RNAcentral also lists the same sequence under 3 other names. The record is from RNAcentral.